RNAcentral lists this ribosomal RNA (253 nucleotides) under uncultured bacterium. RNAcentral describes it as "partial 16S ribosomal RNA". It matches the Rfam family "Bacterial small subunit ribosomal RNA", at positions 524 to 776 of the family's 1533-position model. The record is from RNAcentral.
UACGUAGGGGGCAAGCGUUGUCCGGAAUCACUGGGCGUAAAGCGCACGUAGGCGGACUCUUAAGUCGGUGGUGAAAUCCUGGAGCUCAACUCCAGAACUGCCUUCGAUACUGAGAGUCUCGAGUCCGGGAGAGGUGAGUGGAACUGCGAGUGUAGAGGUGAAAUUCGUAGAUAUUCGCAAGAACACCAGUGGCGAAGGCGGCUCACUGGCCCGGUACUGACGCUGAGGUGCGAAAGCGUGGGGAGCAAACAGG